UACGUAGGUGGCGAGCGUUAUCCGGAUUUAUUGGGCGUAAAGAGUGCGCAGGCGGUUUGCUAAGUCUAAGAUUAAAGUCCGAAGCUUAACUUCGGUUCGUUUUAGAAACUGGCAGACUAGAGUAUGGUAGAGGCAAAUGGAAUUUCUAGUGUAGCGGUAAAAUGCGUAGAUAUUAGAAGGAACACCAGUGGCGAAGGCGAUUUGCUGGGCCAUUACUGACGCUCAUGCACGAAAGCGUGGGGAGCAAAUAG
Molecule: ribosomal RNA, 251 nt
Filed under: uncultured bacterium
Lineage: Bacteria
Description: partial 16S ribosomal RNA
Rfam family: Bacterial small subunit ribosomal RNA
Source: RNAcentral